GGACGUGAGGGUGCUCUGGCUACCACAUCUGUCACCCCAUUGACUGCCAGCGUUGAUUGGCUGAUCUGGCUGGCUGGACAGGUGUCCCCUUCCUCCCUCACUGCUCCAUGUGUGUCUCUCCCCAACGGUGCAUUCUGGAUCGAAGAGAACCCCAGGUAGAAGAGGAUGUUUUCCUCAGUCAAGGGUAUAGGAGUAGCUGUGCUCCCCUCCUAAAACUGCCAAACAAGCUCUGAACAGGACUGUAACGGCACAGGAAACAAUAGCCAGAAUCAACAAAUAGGACUAUAUCAAAUUUAAAGGUGGAUUCAAUUUUU
Molecule: unclassified non-coding RNA, 314 nt
Organism: Fukomys damarensis (Damara mole-rat)
Lineage: Eukaryota; Metazoa; Chordata; Mammalia; Rodentia; Bathyergidae
Gene: 7SK
Rfam family: 7SK RNA
About the family: 7SK was discovered as an abundant small nuclear RNA in the mid-70s but a possible function has only recently been suggested. Two independent studies have found that 7SK RNA binds the CDK9/cyclin T complex (known as elongation factor P-TEFb).
Source: Ensembl